Lynx canadensis (Canada lynx) is the source of this 11750-nucleotide RNA transcript. It is a transcript of the gene named nuclear factor related to kappaB binding protein, with no coding region annotated. The transcript is spliced from 28 exons. Lineage: Eukaryota; Metazoa; Chordata; Mammalia; Carnivora; Felidae. The record is from RefSeq and is a predicted model, not a curated record.
CCUUGCGGGAGCGAGCGCGUCCAGGAGCCCGCGGGCCGAGAAGCGCUGCGGGAAGGGAGACCCGCGCCUGCGGCUCAGGAUUCCAAGAUUGGAAAUAGUACACAGGACCUGGUACAACCCCUCUUUGUCUUCCAGAUAAGGAAAUUGACACUCGGCAAGAUUAUCUGUGGAACAUAAACAAUGGAUUCCUUGGACCAUAUGCUGACGGAUCCCCUGGAACUGGGUCCAUGUGGAGAUGGCCAUGGCACACGUAUUAUGGAGGACUGCCUCCUGGGGGGCACCAGGGUUAGUCUGCCUGAGGACCUUCUGGAGGAUCCCGAAAUAUUCUUUGAUGUAGUCAGCCUCUCAACAUGGCAGGAAGUAUUGAGUGAGUCUCAGCGUGAACACCUCCAGCAGUUUCUGCCUCACUUUCCUGAAGACAGUCUCGAGCAGCAGAAUCAGCUCGUCCUAGCCCUGUUCAGCGGGGAGAACUUCCGCUUUGGGAACCCUCUGCACAUUGCCCAGAAGCUUUUCCGAGAUGGACACUUUAACCCCGAGGUGGUUAAGUACCGGCAGCUGUGCUUCAAGUCCCAGUACAAGCGAUACCUCACCUCCCAGCAGCAGUAUUUCCAUAGGCUGCUGAAGCAGAUCCUGGCUUCCCGGAAUGACCUGCUGGAGAUGGCCCGACGGAGUGGCCCGGCCCUUCCCUUCCGCCAGAAGCGCCCUUCACCAUCCCGCACCCCUGAGGAGCGGGAGUGGCGGACCCAGCAGCGCUACUUGAAGGUCUUGAGGGAAGUGAAGGAGGAGUGUGGUGACACAGACCUGUCCUCUGAUGAAGAGGCCACGUUGGAUUUACAAGAAAAAUUUUCUUUUGAAGAUCUCAGCUCAUGGCUUCCGAGCUCUCCAGCGCGUUCUCCUAGCCCUGCGGUGCCCCUGAGGGUGGUGCCCACGCUUUCAACCACGGAUAUGAAAACUGCAGAUAAAAUAGAACUGGGGGACAGUGACCUGAAGAUAAUGUUAAAGAAGCACCAUGAGAAGCGGAAACAUCAACCAGAUCAUCCGGACCUUUUGACAGGGGACCUGACUCUCAAUGACAUCAUGACUCGAGUAAAUGCUGGCAGGAAGGGCUCUCUAGCAGCCCUAUAUGACUUGGCUGUCCUUAAAAAAAAGGUUAAGGAAAAAGAGGAGAAGAAGAAGAAGAAAAUAAAACUGAUCAAAUCAGAGGCAGAGGAUUUGGCUGAACCCUUAAGCAGUGCUGAUGGGAUCCCACCUCUCUCACAGGCCCCUUCUCCGCUGGCUAUACCUGCUAUCAAGGAGGAGCCUCUUGAAGAUCUCAAGCCUUGCCUUGGAAUCAAUGAAAUAUCUUCCAGUUUCUUCUCUUUGCUAUUAGAGAUCUUGUUGCUGGAGGGGCAGGCUAGCCUUCCUAUGCUGGAGGAACGGGUUUUGGAUUGGCAGUCCUCUCCAGCCAGCUCCCUCAAUAGCUGGUUCUCUGCGGCCCCCAACUGGGCAGAGUUGGUGUUACCAGCCCUGCAGUAUCUUGCUGGAGAAAGUCGUGCUGUACCUUCCAGUUUCUCUCCGUUUGUUGAAUUCAAAGAGAAAACCCAGCAGUGGAAAUUGCUUGGCCAGUCCCAAGAUAAUGAAAAGGAAUUAGCUGCACUCUUUCAACUAUGGCUAGAAACCAAAGACCAGGCUUUCUGUAAGCAAGAAAAUGAAGACAGCUCAGAUGCCACAACACCUGUUCCUCGGGUAAGAACUGACUAUGUGGUGCGGCCCAGCACGGGGGAGGAGAAACGAGUUUUUCAGGAACAGGAGCGUUACAGAUACAGCCAGCCCCAUAAGGCAUUCACCUUUCGCAUGCAUGGCUUUGAGUCUGUAGUGGGGCCUGUGAAGGGUGUUUUUGACAAGGAAACCUCGCUCAACAAGGCUCGGGAGCACUCCCUGCUGCGCUCUGACCGUCCUGCCUACGUUACCAUCCUGUCUCUUGUUCGAGAUGCUGCGGCCCGGCUGCCUAAUGGGGAAGGUACCAGGGCCGAGAUUUGUGAGCUGCUCAAGGACUCCCAGUUUCUGGCACCAGAUGUCACCAGCACUCAGGUGAACACAGUAGUGAGUGGAGCCCUGGAUCGGCUGCAUUAUGAAAAAGACCCGUGUGUGAAAUACGACAUUGGGCGAAAGCUGUGGAUCUACCUGCAUCGGGACCGGAGCGAGGAGGAAUUUGAGCGGAUUCACCAAGCACAAGCAGCUGCAGCUAAAGCCAGAAAAGCCCUUCAGCAAAAACCCAAGCCUCCAUCCAAGGUGAAGUCCGGUAGCAAGGAGAGUUCAUUGAAAGUCCUCAGCAGUGGCCCUUCUGAGCAGAGCCAGAUGAGCCUCAGUGACUCCAGCAUGCCUCCCACUCCAGUCACACCUGUGACCCCCACCACUCCAGCUCUACCUGCCACUCCGAUCUCCCCUCCUCCUGUGUCCUCGGUGAACAAAAGUGGCCCUACUCCUGUCUCAGAGCCAGCGAAAUCUAGCUCAGGUGUUCUUCUGGUGUCUUCACCCACAAUGCCACAGCUAGGAACAAUGCUCUCCCCGGCUUCCAGCCAGACUCCACCAAAUUCUCAGGCAGCCGCCCGUGUGGUGAGCCACUCUGGCUCGGCUGGACUGCCCCAGGUGCGGGUGGUGGCCCAGCCUGGCCUUCCUACUGCUACUCAGCAGUCAGCAGGGCCGACUCAGACACUGCCACAGAUGCCAGCAGGACCACAGAUGCGCGUUCCAGCCACUGCUACUCAGACCAAAGUUGUGCCACAGACAGUAAUGGCCACCGUGCCGGUCAAAGCUCAGACUGCGGCGGCCACUGUGCAGCGGCCUGGACCUGGGACAGGGCUCACGAUGACAAAUCUCCCUGCCACAGCCAGCCCCGCGAGCAAGCCAGCCACCAGUUCUCCUGGGAGCUCCACUCCGAGUGCUUCCACAGCUGCUGUCAUUCAGAAUGUCACAGGACAGAACAUUAUCAAGCAGGUGGCAAUCACUGGGCAGCUUGGUGUGAAGCCCCAGGCAGGCAGCAGCAUUCCACUCACAGCCACUAACUUCCGUAUCCAGGGUAAGGACGUAUUGCGUCUGCCACCCUCUUCCAUCACCACAGAUGCCAAAGGCCAGACGGUUCUGCGAAUCACUCCGGACAUGAUGGCCACGUUGGCCAAGUCCCAGGUUACCACAGUGAAACUGACCCAGGACCUCUUUGGGACGGGAAGCGGCACUGCGGGCAAAGGCAUUUCUGCCACCUUACACGUCACUUCUAAUCCAGUCCACGCGACGGAUAGCCCUGCCAAGGCCAGUUCGGCCAGUGCCCCUUCGUCCACUCCAACAGGUACCACCGUGGUUAAAGUGACUCCUGACCUCAAGCCAACAGAAGCCUCCAGUUCAGCUUUUCGCUUGAUGCCGGCACUUGGUGUGAGUGUGGCAGACCAGAAGGGGAAAAACACAGUGGCUUCUUCAGAAGCAAAACCAGCUGCCACGAUCCGCAUCGUGCAGGGCCUGGGCGUGAUGCCCCCCAAAGCAGGCCAGACCAUCACAGUUGCGACCCAUGCCAAGCAAGGGUCCUCAGUGGCCAGUGGGUCUGGAACUGUCCAUACAUCGGCGGUGUCCUUGCCCAGUAUGAAUGCUGCCGUGUCCAAGACUGUGGCCGUGGCCUCUGGGGCUGCAAGCACCCCCAUCAGCAUCGGGGCAGGAGCCUCUGCUGUGCGGCAGGUCCCUGUCAGCACCACAGUUGUUUCCACGUCCCAGGCUGGGAAGCUGCCUACGCGGAUCACAGUUCCUCUCUCUGUUAUUAGCCAGCCUAUGAAGGGCAAAAGUGUGGUCACGGCCCCCAUCAUCAAAGGCAACCUUGGAGCCAACCUCGGCGGGUUGGGCCGCAAUAUCAUCCUGACCACCAUGCCAGCGGGGACUAAGCUCAUUGCCGGCAACAAGCCGGUUAGUUUCCUCACUGCCCAGCAGUUGCAGCAGCUUCAGCAGCAAGGCCAGGCCACACAGGUGCGCAUCCAGACUGUCCCUGCAUCCCAUCUUCAACAGGGAACAGCUUCUGGUUCCUCCAAAGCAGUCUCCACUGUUGUUGUGACCACAGCUCCAUCUCCUAAACAGGCACCUGAACAGCAGUGAUUCAGAGAGAGAAAGAUGACGUCCGUGAAAGCACACACCCAGGCUGCCCUUCUGGCUUAAAGGAGGGGAGCAGGGAGGUUGUGUCGUCCUUCUCAGCUUGUCUGUUGAAGGGAAGGCCAGCAGUGGGAUGAUGGCAACAGUGGCGUGGAUUCUGCCACCACACUCCACAGUGGAGCAUGCUGAGAAAAGUCCCCUCCAGGCUCCAAGGGCUGUUCCGCUCCGAUCCAGGAGAAGUUCCUCUGUUUGGGGAUGAAGUCAUAGUUGUGCCACACGAGCCAUGGUUCUCUCCUGAGAGCCAGACACCGGGGGAAGGCUUACAGCUGCAGAGCGUGCAGACUGUCAGUAAGCCUCGUUCUCGAUGUGGAUUGUAUUUUUUUUUAGCUUCUGGUCUUCUCUGUGACUAGUGGUCUGGAUAGGAAUUUUAUGUCCAGAAAUUUUUACGUAACUUAUUUUUUUAAAGAACCUGUUGUAUGUCUUUAUCCAGUGGAAACCUGGGCUUUAUAAAGCCCCCACUCCCCACUGCCCCGAACUGAUUAUUCUCUUGACCAGAAUGGGAGAAUAGCAGGAUUCUCAGUGAGUUGGUGGCUGACUUGAGAGCUGCAUGGCAAUGGGGAGGCUGUCAGCUGGGUAAGAAACCAAGGGAGCGAGAUAAGUGAGAUAGCGUGGGUUCCCUGAAAUGGGAUUAGUUUGGCACUACGUCAUAAAGAUGAGGUAUCAGGAUCUUGACUGUGGUCCGUAUCUUCAUCUGCUGACUUUGUCCUCCUUGUCAGGCCUGUUCACACAGAAGUCCAGAGCCUGUGGACAGGAUAGGCAAGUGCCAGCAGACAUGCUGCUCUUGCGGCAUAGACUUUAUUGCAGUUCAGAGAUUAUAUGUUUUGCUUUGCUCCAGGGCAAGAGUCUGCAAACCACAGCCCUGGGGCUGGCUACCCGUUUUUGUAAAUAAAGUCUUAUUGGAACACAGCCCAUGGCCAUUUGCUUAUGUAUUAUCCUUGGCUGCUUGCAGUCAGGAGGCAGAACUGAGUAGUUGCCAUAGAGUCCAGAUGCUCCUCAGGCCUAAAAUGUCUCUUAUGUCCUCAGGCCCGUUAAGUAAAACUUUGCAGGCUUCUGCUCCAGAGUAGAGGCGGCAAGAGGAGAGAGUGAGUGGGUGUGCCCACUGGGCGGAUGAAGCAGCACAGUCACAGGAGAGGUCAGUCGGGGUUUACAAGUCCUUUAAUCCUGGCUGCCUCUCAUUUCUCAGCCUCCGUCAAGCUGUGGCAGAGCUCAGAACGGUAUUUUUAAAUGUAGUAAGUAAGUAAAGCACUGGUUGUUAACAAUAUAUGCCUCUUUUGUAUGGGAGCAGGGGUUGGAUGGCAAGGCUGUUCUGCAGUGUCAGGGCCUCUCUCUCUCGUUUCCAGAUUAUUAAAGAUGUGUCUUUAAUCUGGAAGUUCAGUGAUGAUCUUUUAUGGGGUCUGGUGAGGAAGUGGAGUUGAGGGGCAGAAGGUCCCAAUGGUGUAGUUUAGAGGGGUUGCAAGGUGGAAGCUGAGUGAUCAGGAAGAUUGCAGAGAAGGUCAGGGUGGCUUGUGGCUUUUGAGACCUUGCAUUUGAUUUUUAAAGCAGUUCUGUAAAUAGACAUCAUCACCCAUCUUCUAACUUCUCAUCUCUGGGAGAAGUGGUGAGUCUGAGUUGAGGUUAAAGAGAAAAAGACAUAAAUCCAGUCUUCUGAUUUUAAGUAUCCUUUCUUUUGCCUUCCUAGGGGAGGAUGGCUGUAUGUCAUGCUGAGCUGUGGGGACAGUUGGAGCUAGGGUGGUAAGCCCAAGGUACAGAGAGCUGAGGCGAAUUGGCGGAGAGGUGACUGAGCUUUUGCUAGUAGUGGGGGGCCAGCACAGAUGUCCCACUGGGAAGGGGGGAGAGGUAGGGACUGCCGUGAAGGAGAAAAAUGGCCUUUUAGCCGAGUGGAGGAGAGCAUGUCUGUGUUCUCCAGUACUUUGAUAUUUGCACAUCAUUGCUUCCUAGAGGCACAUUUCACAUGAAGAGUCCACGUGACAGUGUCUGAAUGAGAAAACGGUAGAAAUUUGAGGGAUCCUGUCUCAGGUAUUUAUUGUUGGUUAAAACAAACCCCUUCCGAAUUUACUUAACAAAGGAUUUCAUGAAGGUAGCUCUGGCAUUCAGCCCCAGCCCUUCACUGACUUUUCUUUACUGAAGUCACCUGGCUGUGCCUGUCUCUGAGUGCCUGCAGACAUUUGUCUGCAUGCUUGGGGAACAGGGAUGUUUCAGGAUGUUAGUGUAGGACUGACUCCCUGGUAAGUACGAUUUGGUACUGCCCAGCCUGUCAGUGGAGUACUGAGGAAUGGCAAGCCCCAGCUGGAGUUGUUGAAGUGACGUCACCAGCAUUUUCAUGCUGUGCAAUGUGGUUCUGUGCAUACAGACCACAGGGGUCUUGUAGAGAUGUGGUAGCGAUGGUGGCUGUUUUGGGGGGGGAGUAAGUCCAGAAGAACUCAUGGCAGCCACUGAGCCUCUGACGCUGAGGUUCAGAGGUUGGUAAAAGUGGUCAGACCACAUGUCUAAGACCGGAUUCAGUGAAUAGCAUUGUUUGUGAUGGGUUUGUAUUGUAAACGCAUCUAAGAAUGUUUUUCUCCAGGGUUGACCAAUUCCAUGAAGGUACCCCAAACUGCUGCUGUGAAAGGGAUUUUACAGUAAGUUUCAAUAUUGUAUAUCUGGUCUUCACACCUCAACUGCUUGCUCUGGAGAAAAUACUGCAUUUCCUUAGAGUGUGGUGCACUUCCCCCACCCUUCAAACCUAAAAUAGAGAUCUUUACUAUGAAAGUAAAACUGGGAAUAGGUUCCUUAUACCCACCUCCAGUCUCUAAAGAAAGAAUACGUUUUAAAUUAAUUGCUCAUAAUAGAUCCUUCAGUACUUGUUGAAUGAAAGUUUGGUUUCCUAGUUAGCAGGCCAAUGAAAGUAGACCCUGAAAGGGGACCACAGGUUCUCUUCUCAUUAACUAUAUUUUCAAGUAGCUCAUUCUUAACCUCUGACGUGUGACUUCAGCAUUGAAAGGCUGGCUAACCGUGGGAGGUCAGCUUUCACUUAAGUACAGCAUUUCUUCCAGAGAGCACCCGGUGCCUUGUGUAAAAGAUCUCUACCGCAUUUGUGGGAAGUAGCAGGAAGGAAGCCGGCUUCUGAGUCCUGAAGGCUGGCUUCCCAGCUUGGUAGCUGUGUGACCUUUGGCUAAUCAACUUCUCUGAAGAACCUAACGUGGCUUCCAUUACAGAUGGUUGUGUGAAUCAGGUGGGAUACAGUGCAUUUCAGAGUGUGGAAAGUGUUGUGCAAACCAACGGUACUUGGUCUGGAAGACCUUUCAGAGUUGGCCUAGGCCACUUUUAUCCGUUUGUAGAACUUUACCAACUCUCUAUGUUCCUUUGUGAUUUUGUGGCCUUUGUGCAUCCUAUUCUCUGUGCCUGGAACGUGCUUUUUUUUUUCCUACAGGGCAAACUCCCCAUCUUCUCCCCUCCCUUGUAGUUGUACUUACCCCUUAGGGCACCAGUCACCCUGUAUGUAAACACUUUCAUAUCUUCGCCAUUAGACUGAAUUCCUUGCUGGACAGGGAUCUCCUUAAUCCUUUCAACCAUUUCAGUGCUGGCGCAAAGUAGAUGUUUAAUAAAUAUUUGUUGAAGGAAGUUUUUUAAAAAAAAGAAAAAACCAGAUCCAGAACCAAGAUUAGACUGUCAGGACUUUAUAUUACUAGUUCAAGAGUCACAUCUUUUGCACGAUUCUUACGCUUUGCUUUCAGCUGUAUUGAAAUUCAAGGUCUUCGGCAACCUGCCAUUUUUCUACCUCAUUAUACACACUUCCUGUUAGUGUCUUCUUAUUAGAGUUCUUUUGAGGAGCCAGAACAUUUGCGUUCCAGCUCUCAGCUGGGCCACUGACUAGCUUUCUGAUUAACAAAACAAAACAAAACAAAAAAAUACGUUUGGCCCAACGUCGUGACUUAUCAGUGAUAUUACAGUACUCUGGAAUAUUAAUGGUAAAUUAGGAAAUGUUUAGUAACAUUUAAAGUACCAAAGUUUGUGAACUAUUUUACUUUAAGAAGUAUGUGGUAGAAUUGUAUCUUUAAAAUAAAGUCAGUCUCGUGUAUUUACUUUCUGAUAAGAAAGUACCUGAUUUCUUGAAAUUUGAAAAAGAGAGAAGUUAUCAAAAGCAGGAUGUUCUGCUGGAUUCCUAUCCCAGACUCAUCCCGUGGCCACUUCCUGUUCUCAAACUUUCAGAGUCUUUGAUUUCUCUUCAUACUGAGACAAAAAUAAAGGCUUGCGUCAGUUUUCUUUAUGAAGGAUACCACAGCAACACAAACUUUAGCCAAUUAAAUGAGAAAGUGCGAAUACAUAGAACUGUAAGAGCAGACCAAAGGAAGCAUUGAAAUGGAGGAGACAAGCUACACCUUUGCACACUCUAGCUGUUUGUGCUCAAAGGGACAUGUCCACCCCGCACUGAUGACGGGUAGCCUCCUCACUCUUCAUCUGAGCCAGUCAGGAGGGCCGUCUGCCUUCCAAUCUGUCAGAACUGCCUUUGAAACCUGAGUCUGUGAGGUUACUACGACCAGAAAGCCCUUCAGCCUUUCAAUGUCUCGCCCAUUUGCAGGUAUAGACUACCUUGCACAGAACUUGGCAAGUAUUUGGCACUCAUGAAGUGGUGGAAGUUAGCACUGGUUAGUUAUGAAAUGUGGGCCACUGGAAAUAAAAAUGCAGUGCAGUAGAUUUUGGGGACAAGGGGUUAGGAGAAAAAAGCUAGACAAAAGUUGUCUUCCUUUGGGCUUACCAGUAAACGAGAGAGUAGUUGAUGGCCACAAUGCAGAGGGCAGCCAUGUAGUGCCAGCAGAAACACAUGGUGAUGAACAUGAUGUUUGCUUCAUCUUUCUGGUCCCAUUCGGGUGCUCCAAACGGUGGGAACAGCACAAACCCGAUCUGGUGGGUAGUACAGAGAAGUCGGCCUUAGUUGGUUCUGAGAGGCACAAGCUUACGUCCUUCCCGUGCUGCCCAAGUUUCCAUGCAUUCCCAUUACCUCCUAUUUCUCAUACCUCCAUUAGCAUAGAAAAGGCCUUUUUGCAUAGGAGAACUGACCUGAGUCAAUUCUGGUUUUAGUAUGGGCUUAUUAAAAUGAAAUUUCAGGGCCCACAUUGCAAGUCAGCAGUUUAGCAAGUGGAGCUUGUAACAAACCAUAGAAAUGACCCCUGAAAGUACUGCAUGUGGAGCCCUGUGAAUGGGGUCAGCACCUCCACUGGGGAGGGAAGAUGGGGAAUUUCUUAAUAUGCUCGCUCUGUAUGCUCCGUGGAUUCUGCUUGUCGAUCCGUGAGCAAGGUAUUAAUGGGUAAAAUUAAGUCAUGGGGCGGACACGGGGAGACCAGUGGCCAUCUCAACCCAUUCACAUGGCAUGUCAGUGCUGCCCCUACAUGACUUCUCUUGGACAAACUCAGUGGGGCUCCCUGAAUCCACACAAUGUGAAGCGCACUGUUUUGAAAAAUUACCUGCCAGAACCAGGUGCCCUGAAGAAUAACAAGAGUGGUUCGGAAAAGUUGCAGCACAAUGUUGUCCCGGAGGAUCACCUCUAAGAAGAUGCUGAAAGUCCCUCCAAACAGUGCACACAGUAGGAGUGAGUGGAUGUGCUGGUCCAAGGGUGGUCGGUUAUGGACGUGGUAGUAGAAGAGAAAACCUGCACAAAGCCAUUUCAGCCAUCAGAGAUUUGCUGGUUUCUACUCCAUUGCUAGAAUGCCCUCUUACACCUAUCUCAAAGCGAGAUUUUUCAGCAGUUACAAAGUCAGUUUAUGUGACGUGGGGCAACAGACGCAGAUUAGAUUUAUUUUCUGUAUGAAGUGGAUAUAAGUUGCAAAGGAUGUGUCUUAAAAUCUCUUAAUCCGUGGUAGCUUCAAUACAGGAUGUGUAGGUGAAAAAUGUUGCUGAUUGGUGACAAAUUGUGUAGGUGUACUUGAAAUUCAGUUUUGCCCCGAUUCAACCUUUCUUCGUCUCUUCCUGGGGUACAGAAGUGAGGUUGUUGGAUUACAAAGUGCCUUCUCAUUACUCUGGUUAAUAUGAGUUAUAUUGGGAGAUCUGUCCUAGCUUCUGGGUGGGUCUCCUGAGGUUUGCAGUGGAGUCCAGGCAAGAACACUCCUGGGUGGGGGGUGGAGUGCAGUGUCUCUUCCCCCGGACAGAGGGAGUUCUCUGGCAUUGGUAGCAUCCAUCCAUGUUUUGGAGAGUUCUUACGUGUUUCAGUGUGCAUGUGCACUCAGGUACAUGAGUGUGAUGGGGGAGGGAGCAGGGAGAGGCUGUGUGCAGAGAGCCAGAGACCAGCUAAGAGCCUCAGGUUUUCAUGUGCUGUUUUAUGGGAUAUGUCACCUGUAUCAUCCAGAGCACAGGACCAAGUCCCAUUCAGGUUUUUGAAAUUCAGAGAUUUGGAUUUUCUGGGGAAAGUUAUUAUCUUUGCAGUACUUCUGGUCUUUAUAUUCUGGUCUGUUACAAACGCAAUUUGUCUGUCUCUUACUUUGUUAUUUUUUUCCAUCCCUACCCCUAAGUUACCUUCAGUGAAUACUGCCAUAGCCAUAACCAAUCUGUCCACCCCCAGGGGAACGUGGGUGACGAGAUAGGUGAGCAUGUCCACGAUUCCUGAGACUGCAAAGAACAGAUACAUGGUGCUGUGCUGCCAGUUCAUCAACUUCACCCAUUGGUUUUCAUGGUACAGGUGGAAGUAGGGCCCAUCUGGAACAAACUGCUCUGCCAGGAUCCCUGCAGGGAAGUGAGAGUGGAAAUUAAGGAGGGAAGUGUAGCUCCGGGGCAGAUGGGAAACAAAUGCCCCCAAGUCAUGAAUGAAGUCGAGAUGCGAGAUGCGGGUGAAAGCCUACUUUGCUCUCUCAGAUGCAGCUACUUGAGUAUAAAAGAAGGCAUUUGCUGAGGAGCCUGUGUAGACCUCUUGCCUUUGUUGUUUCUUUGGGGGUGGGGGUGCAGAGCAAGGAAGCAAUAGAAACAGCCACACAGGUCCCCAGGAUAUUUGUCCAGUGGCUGAGAUGAAGGCAAGGCAUCAUCACUUAUGUGAGGAUGUGGCUGGUAUGUUCAUCUCGGGGCUCAGUGAGCAGUGAAAGAAGUCGCGGAAAGGAACAAGUAGGUGGCAAAUAAUGGAAUCUGAGCAGAGACACGCUGGUGAUAAAGGUACCUGUGCACGCCUAAGGGGGAGAAGCAGCUGCCAGGUGUGUCUGUGAGGGCUGACUUUAAGUGCAUGGUUUUCCUGAGCACAGAGUGAGCACCUUCCUCUAGCUUUCAGUCUCUGUGCCCUAAACACUGGGAGAAGCAGGUGAGGGUCCCUUCACUGCGGUGUCAGGAGACGUAAGCCUUUGAGAUGGGGUAGCUCUCAGUUCUUGUCCCUUCUCUGUCUUUUGUUUAGGAAAGCAAAAGAUUGGCCUUUAUGCCUGGUGCCAUAACGUUCCUGGGGCCUCGAAUAAUUCUCCACGGCCACAUUCUGAACCCUGUUCUCCAAACUUUGUUUUGUUUUAAACCCAGCCCCUUCCUGAAUUUAUGCAUGAAGGAUCAAGGAAUUGGUGUAAACAAGCUGGGAGAAGGGAGGCCCACUGACACUAGAAUGGAAGUCCUGUGGCAGCAGGGACUGUUUGGUUCCCCCUUGU